GACUCUGUAGCUCAGUUGGUUAGAGCGCUGUACUGGAAUCGCAGGGUCGCAGGUUCGAUUCCUGUCAGAGGGU
RNAcentral lists this transfer RNA (73 nucleotides) under Paramuricea clavata. RNAcentral describes it as "tRNA-Ser". It matches the Rfam family "tRNA". From Rfam's summary of the family: Transfer RNA (tRNA) molecules are approximately 80 nucleotides in length. Their secondary structure includes four short double-helical elements and three loops (D, anti-codon, and T loops). Lineage: Eukaryota; Metazoa; Cnidaria; Anthozoa; Malacalcyonacea; Plexauridae. The record is from RNAcentral.